RNAcentral lists this ribosomal RNA (467 nucleotides) under uncultured bacterium. RNAcentral's name for it is "partial 16S ribosomal RNA". It matches the Rfam family "Bacterial small subunit ribosomal RNA", at positions 28 to 506 of the family's 1533-position model. The record is from RNAcentral.
GACGAACGCUGGCGGCGUGCUUAACACAUGCAAGUCGAACGGUGAAGGCGGAGCUUGCUCUGCUGGAUCAGUGGCGAACGGGUGAGUAACACGUGAGCAAUCUGCCCCUGACUCUGGGAUAAGCGCUGGAAACGGCGUCUAAUACUGGAUACGAGCUGCGAAGGCAUCUUCAGCAGCUGGAAAGAAUUUCGGUCAGGGAUGAGCUCGCGGCCUAUCAGCUUGUUGGUGAGGUAAUGGCUCACCAAGGCGUCGACGGGUAGCCGGCCUGAGAGGGUGACCGGCCACUCGGGGACGGGAUCACGGCCCAGAUUCCUACGGGGGGCGGAGUGGGGGAUUAUUGCACAAGGGGCGAAGGCCUGAUGCAGCAACGCCGCUUGGGGGACGACGGCCUUCGGGUGGUAAACCUCUUUUAGCAGGGAAGAAGCGAAAGUGACGGUACCUGCAGAAAAAGCGCCGGCUAACUACGU